This is a non-coding RNA of Hydra vulgaris (swiftwater hydra), 503 nucleotides long. The record is from RefSeq and is a predicted model, not a curated record. Lineage: Eukaryota; Metazoa; Cnidaria; Hydrozoa; Anthoathecata; Hydridae.
AAGAUAUGUUUUUUAUAAUAGUGAUAUUUAUCACAUUUGUAGUUUUUUUGGUUCACAAACUAAUUUCAAGUACAAACAAACGGAGUAAUGGCAUCUGGUACCAACAAUAACAAAAACAAGAAAUUCCGUUAUCACAAUUAGAAUGACAAACUGAGAAAGUUUUUAUUUGUUGCAGAUUUAUAGUUGACUUGAAAUGGAAAAGAAAGGAAAGACUUUGUUUUUGUAUAUUUGGGUGGAUUUAUAUUUUGUGAAACAAAUGUUAAAAAUAAAAUUUUAAGUAUACCUAUAAUGUAAAUGUAGAUAGGAUUAUGAUAUACGAUAGUAAUAUGAUUAUAUUAUGUGCUUAUUUAUACUUUAUAAAAAUUGUUGAUAACUUUUUUGAAAUCGUUUAUUUACUAAUUUAUUAUUUAUUCGUGGAUUUGCUGUUAAAAUGAAAUGUAAAUCACAGAAAAUUUAAUAUUUUUUAUGUAAAUCAAAGAAAACAAUAGAUUAUAUAUUUGAAA